Molecule: microRNA precursor, 88 nt
Organism: Bos taurus (domestic cattle)
Lineage: Eukaryota; Metazoa; Chordata; Mammalia; Artiodactyla; Bovidae
Source: Ensembl
UGCACGUCUGCACUGUGCUCACGUGUGUGCCUGCCGAGUGUUGAUUCAGUGAUCGGUGGCGCCAGCUCUGAGCAGAGUGUUGGGGUGU